UACGUAGGGACCGAGCGUUGUCCGGAUUCAUUGGGCGUAAAGAGCUCGUAGGCGGCUGCUCAAGUCGAAUGUGAAAACUCGAGGCUCAACCUCGAGCCUGCAUUCGAUACUGGGCGGCUAGAGUCUGGUAGGGGGAUCUGGAAUUCCUGGUGUAGCGGUGGAAUGCGCAGAUAUCAGGAGGAACACCGGUGGCGAGGGCAGCUCGCUGGGACGUUACUGACACUGAGGCGCGAAGGCAUGGGGAGCGAACAGG
RNAcentral lists this ribosomal RNA (253 nucleotides) under uncultured bacterium. RNAcentral describes it as "partial 16S ribosomal RNA". It matches the Rfam family "Bacterial small subunit ribosomal RNA", at positions 524 to 776 of the family's 1533-position model. The record is from RNAcentral.